RNAcentral lists this ribosomal RNA (496 nucleotides) under uncultured bacterium. RNAcentral's name for it is "partial 16S ribosomal RNA". It matches the Rfam family "Bacterial small subunit ribosomal RNA", at positions 29 to 507 of the family's 1533-position model. The record is from RNAcentral.
AUGCACGCUGGCGGCGUGCCUAAUCCCUGCAAGUCGAGCGCACAGACGAGGAGCUUGCUCCUCUGACGUUAGCGGCGGACGGGUGAGUAACACGUGGAUAACCUACCUAUAAGACUGGGAUAACUUCGGGAAACCGGAGCUAAUACCGGAUAAUAUAUUGAACCGCAUGGUUCAAUAGUGAAAGACGGUUUUGCUGUCACUUAUAGAUGGAUCCGCGCCGCAUUAGCUAGUUGGUAAGGUAACGGCUUACCAAGGCAACGAUGCGUAGCCGACCUGAGAGGGUGAUCGGCCACACUGGAACUGAGACACGGUCCAGACUCCUACGGGAGGCAGCAGUAGGGAAUCUUCCGCAAUGGGCGAAAGCCUGACGGAGCAACGCCGCGUGAGUGAUGAAGGUCUUCGGAUCGUAAAACUCUGUUAUUAGGGAAGAACAAAUGUGUAAGUAACUAUGCACGUCUUGACGGUACCUAAUCAGAAAGCCACGGCUAACUACGUG